UAGUGAUUGGAAUGAUGGGAAUUUAAACUCCUUUCAGAGUAACAAUUGGAGGGCAAGUCUGGUGCCAGCAACCGCGGUAAUUCCAGCUCCAAUAGCGUAUAUUAAAGUUGUUGCAGUUAAAAAGCUCGUAGUUGGAUAUCUGCUGGAAGCAAUCAGUCCGCCCUCUUUGUAGGGUGUGCACUUGAUGAAUUCUGGCAUCUAUUAUGUCCCGUAAUACGGAUGAAGCUAUUGAACGAAAGUUCAAUAGACUGUCCGGUUUUACUGGGAUAAUACUGUUACUUUGAGAAAAUUAGAGUGUUUGAAGCAGGCUUGUAUUGCCUUGAAUACUGCAGCAUGGAAUAACAAUAUAGGAUUUCGGUUCUAUUUUGUUGGUUUCUAGGACUGAAAUAAUGAUUAAUAGGGACAGUUGGGGGCAUUCGUAUUUAACUGUCAGAGGUGAAAUUCUUAGAUUUGUUAAAGACGAACUACUGCGAA
Molecule: ribosomal RNA, 474 nt
Filed under: Sarcocystis sp.
Lineage: Eukaryota; Apicomplexa; Conoidasida; Eucoccidiorida; Sarcocystidae
Description: SSU rRNA
Rfam family: Eukaryotic small subunit ribosomal RNA
Source: RNAcentral